UGAAUACGAGACGCUAAGGCGUCGAAGUAGUGUAUGUCAUACUUCCAAGAAAAGCUUACACUGUCAUAGAUAGAAAACGCCUGUACCAUAACCGACACAGGUGGGUAGGUAGAGUAUACUAAGGGGCGCGAGAUAACUCUCUCUAAGGAACUCGGCAAAAUAACUCCGUAACUUCGGGAGAAGGAGUGCCUUAUUCGUAAGGUUGCAAUAACAAGAUCCAAGCAACUGUUUAUCAAAAACACAGGUUUCCGCUAAGUCGUAAGACGAUGUAUGGGGGCUGACGCCUGCCCAGUGCCAGAAGGUUAAAGAAGUUGGUUAGCAAUUGCGAAGCUGAUAACUGAAGCCCUGGUGAACGGCGGCCGUAACGAUAACGGUCCUAAGGUAGCGAAAUUCCUUGUCGGGUAAGUUCCGACCCGCACGAAAGGCGUAAUGAUUUGGAUACUGUCUCGGAGAGGGGCUCGGUGAAAUAGACUUGUCUGUGAAGAUGCGGACUACCUGCACCAGGACAGAAAGACCCUAUGAAGCUUUACUGUAACUUGAAAUUGAAAUUGGACUUUAUUCGCGCAGUAUAGGUGGGAGGCGUUGAUUAUAAUCUUGUGGGAUUAUUGGAGCCAUCAGUGAGAUACCACUCUUGUAAUGUUAGAUUUCUAACUUUGAAUCAUUAUCUGGUCAAAGAACAGUUUCAGGCGGGCAGUUUGACUGGGGCGGUCGCCUCCUAAACGGUAACGGAGGCGUACAAAGGUUUCCUCUGAACGGUUAGAAAUCGUAUCUAGAGUGUAAAGGCAUAAGGAAGCUUGACUGUGAGACCUACAAGUCGAGCAGGGACGAAAGUCGGUCUUAGUGAUCUGACGGUACUGAGUGGAAAGGCCGUCACUCAACGGAUAAAAGUUACUCUAGGAUAACAGGCUGAUCUCCCCCAAGAGUUCACAUCGACGGGGAGGUUUGGCACCUCGAUGUCGGCUCAUCGCAUCCUGGGGCGGUAGUACGUCCCAAGGGUUGGGCUGUUCGCCCAUGAAAGCGGUACGCGAGCUGGGUUCAGAACGUCGUGAGACAGUUCGGUCCAUAUCCGGUGUAGGCGUUAGAAUAUUGAGAGGAGCCUUCUUUAGUACGAGAGGACCGAGAAGGACAUACCUCUGGUGUACCAGUUGUCGUGCCAACGGUAAACGCUGGGUAGCUAUGUAUGGAGUGGAUAACCGCUGAAAGCAUCUAAGUGGGAAGCCCACCUCAAGAUAAGUAUUCUCA
This 1242-nucleotide ribosomal RNA is filed under the name metagenome. RNAcentral describes it as "bacterial LSU rRNA". It matches the Rfam family "Bacterial large subunit ribosomal RNA", at positions 1564 to 2816 of the family's 2925-position model. The record is from RNAcentral.